Molecule: ribosomal RNA, 745 nt
Filed under: Antithamnion nipponicum
Lineage: Eukaryota; Rhodophyta; Florideophyceae; Ceramiales; Ceramiaceae
Description: LSU rRNA
Rfam family: Eukaryotic large subunit ribosomal RNA
Source: RNAcentral
GACAAAGUGGUUUUCAGAUGAGUAGGAGGGCGUGGCGGUCGAAAGGAAGCGUCGGUGCGAACCGGCGUGAAUCGGCCGCUAGUGCAGAUCUUGGUGGUAGUAGCAAAUAUUCAAGUGAGAUCCUUGAAGGACGAAGCGGGGAAGGGUUCCACGCGAACAUUGAUUGAGCGUGGGUGAGUCGUUCCUAAGCCGAGUGGUCAUAGCUAAUUACCGGCGAAAGGGAAGCAGGUUGACAUUCCUGCACACGGAUGUGGAGGCGGUGACGCCGUAUUGGGGUGGUUACGUUGGCGGAGGCUCUGGGCAGAGUUGUCUUUUCUGUUUGACCGUCAGUGUACGCUGUGUGGAAUUCGCUUGUCGAGAGAAACACGCGUGCACGGGCAGAGCGCCGGGGCUUUUCCGGCGUCCAGAUCGCCUCCGACAGCCCUUGAAACACCAUCUGCUGGACAACUUUGUUGUUUGUAAAAUCCACGCCGUGGCGUACCGAUCACCGCAUCAGGUCCCCAAGGUGAACAGCCUCUGUCCAAUAUGAACAAUGCAGGUAAGGGAAGUCGGCAAAUUGGACCCGUAACUUUGGGAAAAGGGUUGGCUCUAGUGCUGCGUGGGACUGGUUGUCGUUUCGUCAGUGCUGAAGCUCAGGUGGGUGUCGCGGUAGGGAAACCUUCUGUGACCCUGCUCAGGCUUCUUUACUGCGGACGACGACGCCCACAUGCAUGCAGCAAACUAGAACUGCAACGGGCAAAGGGAA